Molecule: long non-coding RNA, 574 nt
Filed under: Trifolium pratense (red clover)
Lineage: Eukaryota; Viridiplantae; Streptophyta; Magnoliopsida; Fabales; Fabaceae
Description: long non-coding RNA (TPRA_LNC013609)
Source: RNAcentral
AUUCUUCAUUAGAUAAUAGAUAAUUGAGACGUGCGUUGUCGGUUUUGCAGUGAGCUGAAGUCCAAAUAGCAAUUCUUGAUUGAAUGGAUAAGAACAGAGAACAAUGAGAUAGAUAAUUCGAAUUUCUUCAAUGAAUCGUUCCUUUUAAAUUUUUAUUUCUUGGCUUUGAUGAUGCAAAAUAAAUUAAUUGAAGUUUGAACGCGUUUUCUGCAGCUUGGUUUGUCAAAAUAAUAACUUUCUUCAUAGCAUGGUGCCUCGAUAUUUGGUUUGGCGGUCUUGGUAAAAACAUUUGUUUCAAUCUUUCUUUAUCGAUUCGUAUAUCAUAUAUUUCUUGAUUUCUUGAUUUGGUGUUUACUCUUUGGUUCUGCAGGAGAAGAUGUGAUUUUAAUUUUUCAAUUCUGAAGUUUGCCUGUUGUGUUCAAUUUUCUUUUGUUUCUUGAUCUGUUGGCCAGGUUGUUUUUUCCAUGAUUGCUUAAUUUCAGGUUUGCUAUAUACGAGAAUAGGAGAUUGUUAGUGAUAUGCCUUUCUAUAUCAAGAAAUUCACGCAAUUACACUUCUCAACUCUUCUUUUAAC